GGAAGGAAGUUUUGAAUGGCUGCCAUCAGGGACUGGGAGACUGAGGCAAGCAGAGAGAGAGUCACAUCCUGAUGAGAGGGAGCAGCUCCUCUGCCCGCAGCCUGGUGCUGGGACCACCCCAGUUACUUUGCAAGGGCUGUGCAGAGUGGAUUUCCAGCACCCACUGAGCGUCCCGGCUGGGAGGCUUAACAGAUGUGGCAGAACUGAAGCAUGGAAAGUCUGUCUAUGGGAGAAAAGUAUCUUGAGACAUGAGAUGCCAACAGCUAUGAACCUCACUCAUCAUCUGAUACCUGCCUUGGGAAAGCACGUGAAAGCAGAUUGAAGUUGUUAAGGUAAGUGUGUGAAGUGCCAAAGUAGAGAGCAGGCAGCUGUUCAGUAAGUGAAACAUGGUGAAAAUGGGCACGUCCAAACGGUGACAUGGCGAGCUGCAUUCCUCAGCCAGCUGUGGCCUGCCCUGAUAUGGCAGCGUGCAGCCUUUUUCAAGGAGUAAGCACCCACCAAGUCCAUCAAAGAAGCCUUAACGAGGUGUGGUGUGAGGGCUGAGAGGCAGGGAUGGUAAACUUCCUCCUCCCUUUCCCUGGGUGCAGCUGCAUGGAGCUUUCAUCCCAUUUCAGUGCAGCUGAAUCCCACUAACUCCAUCCCAGGCAGACCUAAUGGACUAGCACAGGCAGAAACAGCCAGAAUACAGUUUAAGAAAGUGCUCUUUGCUGCCUCCUGGCUAAAUGUUGAUUCUUCAUGAAAACAGAUUCUAAAUCAUCCUAAGCUGAGAUGCUUGUGUGCGAAUUUGGGUGAAUGCGUAAAAUAUGUAAAUCCAGGACCAUGCUAAGGUGACAGUGUUCACAAUUCAAGUCUUGGUAUACUGUUGACAGUCUGAUCUCAGCAUCUGUUGUGCGAGUUAAUUGGCAUAGUUUGGCUUCACAUCUAGUGUUAGGCUGAGCAGAAAGAUGAACACGCUGAGCAGAUUAAGGUAAAGCCAAGAACAAGAUUUCUGUUAAUGUCAGUGAAAGUACAUUUGCCCAUAGAAUGAUCGUGCAAAUGUGAUGUUUCUCCCCAUCAAUCAUUUACUCUUUUGCUGCUUUCCAGGCAUUGGAAUUUUGUGUUGUUUUGUUUCUUUGUGAUUCAGGAGAAAAAUAUUUGUCAUCACACGGUUCACAGUCACUGGACAAUGUUCUUGUUUAAUGUCACUGUCAGCUUGGUCAUGGGAGAUCGCUCCCAUUAUAGACUGAGACGACCGAAAAGCCUUUUAACAUUAUUUGAUUCAUCUCUCCCAAAGGUUGAGUGAGUUUUUUUUAACUAUACUGAGUAUGAAUAAAUACCAGUAGGUAGGAAUAUAUUCAGAGAGCAAUAGAAGGAAGAGUAAGAAAAACAACUGCUGGAGAAAACAAAUGAAUAGAAAGAAAAGUGGAUGAUGCCCACUUGGAAUAGGUAAUUUUGGAUCUACAGUGAUUUAGAGUUUAAAAUCCAUACAAUGUCAGCGUAACUUGAGAUUGGAUAAACUUCUAAUUGAUGUUAAGGACCUGUUUGUGAACUUCAAGAAGAAGUACUAUGAAUAACAGCGGGAACAACUUCUGAUAUGCAAAAGUGAUCUUUUGUAUAUUAAUAAAUUAUGUUCAUUAGCUAAAAUCAUAAGAUUCUAGGUGUUGGUUUUUUAAAAUAUACAUGACUUCGUCUUUUGUGAAUCAUUUCUGUCCACGUCCAGACUAAGGAGUUCAAACCUACUCUCUACGUUUUUACUGGGCUCACUGCAAAGCCCAUUUACAGCAAAGGAGACUUUACAUCAACUGUAACACGUCAGGCUGGUUAAGUAUGUUGUAAGUGAGCAAAAUUCUCCUCCUCCCUCCUCAUUUCAUCUCACUCUUCAGUCUCUCUACGUUUUAGGCUCUUUAUUUUGCUUUGUGUCCAUUCUUUCUUCUCCUCCUGAGUAGAGCUGAGGUUCAAGCCAAAAUUUAACAAGUAAAAUUUGACUGGGCAAAUAUAUUAAUUACUAUCAGUGCAUUUACCUCUUACUAAAUCACUGAAGUGGAAAUCUUAGUAACAUCUUUUAAAGUGAAAUUAAUGUUUCUUUAACUUCGUUGCUUCAUAAGAAAAACAGAAGUAAAAUACCUAGAAGCUGCCCUUGCAGGGUUUAUAUUGUUAUUUUUGCCUUUUAGUGGGUUUUCAGUUAAAGUAUUAUGUAUGGAUGUGUGAGAUGUUGAUCUCGUCAGUAAAAUCUCACAACCUCUGUGUGCAGCAGGGCAUGACUUUGGAUAUCAUCAGCGAAGAACGUGUGCUUCUCCCAAGAGGUGAUUUGCGUUCCAGCCGUGAAAAUGCAAUGUUUGUAGUAGAAGAUGGAAACUGUGAAAAGUUACCAAGAAUGCAGGUGCACUGCAAUAAAACCUCAGCAAACAGAUGGGAUUUCUAAAAUUCUGAUGUUAAUGAUGCUGUUUGUUUCUCUUCAUCUGUCAGAGCAUCCUCGAGACUCACCUUUUUAGUUCUAUUAAGAAUUUUUAACCACUUUUAAUUAAGAUUAGAUUGAAUCCCCACAGUUGUAAAUAAAUCCUUGAGCUCACUGUCCUGGUGAACUCUGUGAAGAUGCCAAAACUUCUAGGGCUUAGGACUAGUAUUGUUGAAUUUUAUUGUGGUUUUUUUUUCGUUGUUGUUGUUGUUACUUUUUUAUUAUUGUUUGUUUGUGUCUCUCUGUGCAUGUGUACAAAUAAAUAGAUUAGGAACAAGAAUAAUUAAAUAGUAGGGAAUUUUACUAUUUCCUUAUGUAUGUGUUUUAUGAAAUCCCUCAGUAAAAUUAUCCUUCCUUUGAAAUCAGUAGGAGGUUUGCUUUCGACUUGAAUGAAACUCAACUCCUUUACUGUCUGGCUUUCGCCAUGAUCUGGCGUGAUUUAAUGGUCAGGCUUGGUGACCUAGAAGGUCUUUUCCAACCUGAAUGCUAUGAUUCUAUAAUUGCAUGUGAGGGCUUUGAAAAGCAAAGAACAAAGUUGUUGUUAUUUUUUAAAUAAAAUUUAUUACAGAAAUUGCUGAUCAGGAAUAUUACCCUGUGUGCAUCUUCUACAAGGGUGGUAGAUGCAUCUCCAAUUGUGGAUGCGCUGCAGAUUUAUGUUUCACUUUUCAGUGCUGUCUGUGAAUAGAAGUUUCAUUUUCCUUUUCUCUGGGGGGUUCAAUGUGUUUUUUAUUUGACAAGUAUGAUCCCUACCUCUUUGUGGUAGAAGACAUUGUAUUUCCAUCAUUCAUGUAGGAUACUGAUGCUAACAUCUUCCAGCACGCUCCUGAGACCAUGUCCUGGAGUUACAGGUUUCAAAUCUAGUAGAUAUUUGCCUGGCAUCUCUUGGGCCUGCAGAGAAGAAUACAAUGAAGGCAAAGAAGUGACCAUGGAUGAGGUAGUCCUAUAGUACUGGUGUGUGCAUGCUACUACUUUUUCCAGAGAUCAGCCACUUUUCUACACUGGCAGAGAAGUCAUAGUGACCUGUCAAGAAGUUUAAUCAGAAUGUGCCAGCAGUGCACUUCACCAAAACUGUGGUGCUGGAGACUGGUAUGCUCCUUAGCCCUAGAGCAGAUGGAUACACAUGGGGAAAAAGAGCCAUGUCCUGUCCCCAGCGGCGUGUUCCAACUCUGAAGCGAGAUGUCCACUCCUGCAAUAACAACUCUGUGCCAGCAGCAUAACUGCAUUUGAGGAAACAUCAGUGGCAGACCGAAGAAAAAAAUGCAGGAAGGUGGAGUGGAAAAAUUAUGGAAAUAUGUGGACAGUAUCCCAAAAUAUAUGAUAUCUGAAGGAACUGUGGAGAAUGCAGGCAAGUAAAUGAAAAACAUGCUAGAAAAGUUUUGGAGAUCUGACUUCAUUGUCAGAAACUGCUAUUUAGGUUACUUGUUAAGUAGGUAUGACAAUUUUUCCUUUAUUUAUUCAGCUGUUUAUCUAGUUUAUGUCUCAGCAUGUUUGACUUCAGGUGCUCCUGGUAAAGAAGAGAAGAAUAUCAGCACAAUAACUUCCAUUCUCUUUUGAAAUGUAAUUUCCUCCCUGUUUUCUCAGUGACCUGGAGCUAGUCCUAUAAACACGCUUGGCUCCAAAAUGUAAGACAAUUUAUUUUUCUGUCGAGAUAGUGAGGGAUUUAGAUAUGAAGUAACGCAUCCUUAUGCUUUGCAGCUAAUACCAAUUUCCUGCUUUUUGCUGAUAUUUCGAUAUCUCUGCUUACCGUGGUCAUCUCUGUAUGCGAGUUACAAAACACAGAAGCAACAUAAAGACAAAUUUUAACAGAGCAAUAGCACGUUAGAUAGAGCAAGUCACAAAAACAGUGCCAGGCUCUGAAAAGUCUCUAUUUACAGAGCUUCCCUAUGGUCCUUUCUGAACCGAUUAACAGAUUCUAGGGCAACAAAUAGAGCUCCUUCCAAGUGAUACCAACCCCUCUCUCACUUCUGCAGCCGCCCUACUUCUAUCUGCCCAUGUGAUACUAUCGAGUGCAUACGCAUUUACUUUACUCAACAGAAAGGAGAAAUAGGUUCCAAAGAUUUUUAAGUAAUGGUCAACAGGAAGGAGAAAAUGAAGUUCUUCUGAAUGGAUGCAAUAUUAUUUUAUUAUUCCAUUGUUAUUUGAAUAUUUUUAUUUGUUACUUGGCCUUGUGAAAUUAUAAAAAAUAAAAUAAAAUCCAAGAUGGUUAAGAGAACAUGUCAGAAAAUAUAUCCAUAGGUCUUUGCAGGGUUUGUUAAUAUACAUAUGUAGGCUGUUUUAUAUGCAAAGGCAUUCAGAUGUAUUUCCCUUCACUUUUAUCCAUGUAUCAGAUUUCUAGUUAAUGUAUCGCUUCCAAUUAAGUGUAACACCAUAGGAAGGAGAAGGUGACUUUGUUGUCUGAGUGACUAGAAUGAUGGCUAAAAUCUGGCAGCUGCACCAUUUCUUUCUAAACCAAUCCCAAAUUCAAUUAAAAUUCUAUUUUGGGGGCACAAGUAAUAAUCUGUGAUAAUUGCAUUACAGUAAUUUAAACUACAUACUUUUUAAUCUCAUGUAAUUUAAAUGCAUCCGAGGAAGACAGCUUGAGCUGCGAAUUUUGUUUCCUAAUAUUGGAAGUAAUGUAUGUAAAUGGCAACUAAAUUAUAAAACUUGGCUUCACAUUAUUUUUAUGUCUGUGUAAUGCUCUCAGAUUGGUAUUACUCGAACUAUAGAAAGAUGUACAAAAUUGCCAUUUAGCAUAUGAUUAGCACUAUUAUUUGUUUGAGUCCUCAUAAUUCUAGAAACAUUUGGGUUUUUAUUCUGUCUAUCAAUUAAAAGAAGAAGAAUUAUUAAGGAAAAUAUUGCAUUU
This is a long non-coding RNA of Gallus gallus (chicken), 5276 nucleotides long. RefSeq lists it as uncharacterized. The record is from RefSeq and is a predicted model, not a curated record. The transcript is spliced from 7 exons. NCBI's taxonomy places the organism in Eukaryota, Metazoa, Chordata, Aves, Galliformes, Phasianidae.